RNAcentral lists this ribosomal RNA (414 nucleotides) under uncultured bacterium. RNAcentral's name for it is "bacterial SSU rRNA". It matches the Rfam family "Bacterial small subunit ribosomal RNA", at positions 30 to 445 of the family's 1533-position model. The record is from RNAcentral.
AUUGAACGCUGGCGGAAUGCUUUACACAUGCAAGUCGAGCGGCAGCGCGGGGCAACCCUGGCGGCGAGCGGCGAACGGGUGAGUAACACAUAGGAACAUACCCAUUAAUGGGGGAUAACGCCGAGAAAUCGGUGCUAAUACCGCAUACGCCCUGAGGGGGAAAGCGGGGGAUCUUCGGACCUCGCGUUAAUGGAAUGGCCUAUGUCUGAUUAGCUAGUUGGUGAGGUAAAGGCUCACCAAGGCUUCGAUCAGUAGCUGGUCUGAGAGGAUGAUCAGCCACACUGGAACUGAGACACGGUCCAGACUCCUACGGGAGGCAGCAGUGGGGAAUUUUGGACAAUGGGCGCAAGCCUGAUCCAGCCAUUCCGCGUGAGUGAAGAAGGCCUUCGGGUUGUAAAGCUCUUUCGGCAGGAA